This 30-nucleotide non-coding RNA is filed under the name Mus musculus (house mouse). Lineage: Eukaryota; Metazoa; Chordata; Mammalia; Rodentia; Muridae. The record is from RNAcentral.
UACAGAUGUUCACUGGUUGUGCCAUAGAUC